This 628-nucleotide long non-coding RNA is filed under the name Marmota monax (woodchuck). Lineage: Eukaryota; Metazoa; Chordata; Mammalia; Rodentia; Sciuridae. The record is from RNAcentral.
UUCUUCCUAAUUCUUCCUGAUUCUUCAGUGGCCUGUGUUUCUCACCAGAUUGUUCUCAUUUCCUGUAACCUUCACUUCUCUGCCUCUGACAAACAUCCCUUGGAUCAAGCCUGUGACAACUGUCUUCCCUUAAACCUGUAACUGUCUUACAUGGACUCCUUAAGCCAGAGUCUAUGUGCCACAUAUCUCGGUAGAUUUUGAACACUUUUCUCUGUGUUUUGUACAUGGACUUAUCAACCUUUUCUCUGACAUACACAUGACACACAUAGAGAAAAGAGAUAUGAUUUAAAAGUAUUCAAUUAACUUGAGGAAAUAUCAGCUUGAAAUGUAAAAGUUUUCUGAAGAUAAAGUACACACAGAUAGUCCAUAGUUAGCCAUGAGGAAUUUCUUUUGGUAGGCCUUUGCCCAUUCAUUGUAUUGAGUAAUAGAAGCGUACUUUAUAAUCUUAUCACAUUUCUUUAUUUUCUAGGGUCUUUUAUGCAUGUGGAUAUAAGCAUGCUGCUGUAAUAAGCACUGGCUUUCUUGUUGCUGCCAGCAAAUGUUUCUUACAGCCCAGUGGCUUGUAACAUGCUCUGGUGCCACAAAUCAGUAGCAGUUCCCAAACAGAGUGACAUGGCUGUGUACAAAC